This is a non-coding RNA of Plasmodium ovale curtisi, 159 nucleotides long. Lineage: Eukaryota; Apicomplexa; Aconoidasida; Haemosporida; Plasmodiidae. The record is from Rfam.
UCUAUUGAACGAUUCGAAGAGUUACUAUUCAAAAUAUUUUCAUUUAAAUAUUUUAAAAAAAAAAUAAUAACGUCAAAUUCGUUCAUAUAACAAAUGUAUAUACGGUGGCAUUUAAAAUUUUUAAUUUUAUAAAUGUCAAUCCAUAUAUAUCACAGCAGC